GCUGAAAAUUUAGCCUUCUCUAAACAACCCACACCUCACCACGAACUAAAAUAUUUUAUUAUUUAAGUAAAGAUGAUUAAAAAAUUAACAAGAGCUAUGCCGAGUACCGCAAGGGAAAAAUGAAAUAAAAUGAAACAUUAUUAAGCACAAAAAAGUAAAGACUACAACUUGUACCUUUUGCAUCAUGGUUUAACUAGUAAACCCAAGCAAAAAGACUUUUAGUUUGCCCCCCCGAAACUGAGUGAGCUACUUCAGGGCAGCUUAACGAGCAAACCCAUCCCUGUUGCAAAAGGGUGGGAAGACCUUGCAGUAGAGGUGAUAUGCCUAACGAACUCAGUGAUAGCUGGUUACUCAAGAAAAGAAUCUUAGUCCAACCUAAAGUCACCCACUCCUCAAUGAAGAAAACCUACUUUAGAGCAAUUCAAAUAGGGUACAGCCUAUUUGAUACAGGACACAACCUCACAUAACGGCUAAUCCAUGUACAGUUAAAUUAAGUAGGCCUAAAAGCAGCCAUCUUAAAAGAGCGUCAAAGCCUGGUUUUAAUUUCACUUGAUCCCACAACCUAUAUAGAACCCUUUAUCAAUAUUGAGUAAUUCUAUACCACUAUAGAAAUUUUUAUGUUAAAACUAGUAACAAGAAGACACUUCUCUUUUAAUGCAAACGUAAAUUAAAUUAGACAAUUAUACAUUUCAGCAGAAAAUAAAAACUACGGAAACCCUGCCUUUUCUAAUGUUAGACUAACACAAGAGCAUUUUAAGAAAGAUUAAAAGAAAAAGAAGGAACUCGGCAAAUACUGAUUCCGCCUGUUUAUCAAAAACAUCGCCUCUUGAAAAAAUAUAAGAGGUCUAGCCUGCCCAGUGACAUCAGUUCAACGGCCGCGGUAUCCUGACCGUGCAAAGGUAGCGUAAUCACUUGUUUUUUAAAUAAAGACUAGUAUGAAAGGCAUCACGAGAAUCAAACUGUCUCCUUUUUUCAAUCUGUGAAACUAAUCUCCCCGUGAAAAAGCGGGGAUUAUUAUAUAAGACGAGAAGACCCUAUGGAGCUUUAGACAAAGUAAUAAAUACCCUCUUUUCUUUUCCCCCGGGGCCUACUUAUAGGUGCCUUAUUACCCAGUCUUCGGUUGGGGCGACCAUGGAGCAAAACCCACCCUCCAUGUUGAAUAGGACCUCCUUAAAUAAAGAGCUACAGCUCUAUCUAUCAACAAAUUGACAACACUUGACCCAAUUUUUGAUCAACGAAACAAGUUACCCUAGGGAUAACAGCGCAAUCCACUUCAAGAGCCCUUAUCAACAAGUGGGUUUACGACCUCGAUGUUGGAUUAGGGUACCCCAGUGGUGUAACCGCUACUAAAGGUUUGUUUGUUCAACAAUUAAAACCCU
Molecule: ribosomal RNA, 1379 nt
Filed under: Ischnocnema parnaso
Lineage: Eukaryota; Metazoa; Chordata; Amphibia; Anura; Brachycephalidae
Description: partial 16S ribosomal RNA
Rfam family: Bacterial large subunit ribosomal RNA
Source: RNAcentral